UGGGGAAUCUUGGACAAUGGGCGCAAGCCUGAUCCAGCCAUGCCGCGUGAGUGACGAAGGUCUUCGGAUUGUAAAGCUCUUUUAGCAGGGAAGAUAAUGACGGUACCUGCAGAAUAAGCCCCGGCUAACUUCGUGCCAGCAGCCGCGGUAAUACGAAGGGGGCUAGCGUUGUUCGGAAUUACUGGGCGUAAAGCGCACGUAGGCGGAUUGAUAAGUUAGAGGUGAAAUCCCGGGGCUCAACCUCGGAAUUGCCUUUGAUACUGUUAGUCUCGAGUCCGAUAGAGGUGAGUGGAAUUCCUAGUGUAGAGGUGAAAUUCGUAGAUAUUAGGAAGAACACCAGUGGCGAAGGCGGCUCACUGGAUCGGUACUGACGCUGAGGUGCGAAAGCGUGGGGAGCAAACAGGAUUAGAUACCCCCGUAGUCCCUGAGCGGGCUGGCAAGGCGCAU
Molecule: ribosomal RNA, 447 nt
Filed under: uncultured bacterium
Lineage: Bacteria
Description: bacterial SSU rRNA
Rfam family: Bacterial small subunit ribosomal RNA
Source: RNAcentral